Long non-coding RNA from Numida meleagris (helmeted guineafowl), 3305 nucleotides. RefSeq lists it as uncharacterized. The transcript is spliced from 6 exons. Lineage: Eukaryota; Metazoa; Chordata; Aves; Galliformes; Numididae. The record is from RefSeq and is a predicted model, not a curated record.
UCAGUUUGUCACCAAAAUGAAAUGAAUGUUUUAGUUUUGUUCUCAGCAGAAACAUGGUGAGGAAUACAAAAAGGGAAAAAGCAGAGUGGGAACGAGAGCUGAAAACUAUUGUUUCUCAGAUGAAAGCAAAUUAGAAGUUGCUCAGCAUGGUUCAGGGUGUGCUGGCAACGCACCAGGUGGAAAACUGUGACCUUGGAGCUGCAUGGGAACUGCCAGGGCUGUUCUCUAGCUGGGAGGAGGAAGUGGAUCGAGCUGAGAGGGAACUGGGACAUUUUCCUGAUUCCUAGAGGUCCACCCUAAGAAACCUACAGGUCAGCCCCAGACAAAUCUUGGCUAUUCUCACUGUGAUGCUGGUGCAUACUCAAGAAGGAGAGAGGAGCUGUAUUCUACAGCUGGCAAGCAACAAGAAAGAAGUGAUGGAGUCAUUAGUUUCACUCAUCUGGCUAAUAGGGCAGCAGAACAGCUGAUCCUCCUGGGUCUGGAGAUUCCUUCCUGAUGUCUCUCCUGCUCAGUGUUACACAACUCAGCAGAAUAUUGAGUUCUGGGUUGACCAUGAGCUCCUGGUCUGAUUGUCUCCUUCCAGCUUGGGAAGACCUGAAAAAAGGCAACUUCUCAUGGCAGUUAAGUCUUUACUCUGUCAAACUCCCAUGUCUUUGUUGAGUGAGGGUCAGACUGUAUGAGAGGAUUGCAAACAGAGUGGGGGGGGGGGAGCAAGCAAUACAGUAAUUGGAAGUAGAGAAAAAUGAUUUGUGUACCCCUGGUGUUUAUGUGCAAGCACACAUACAUGAGUCAGACCAAAGCUUGUCUAGAUUAUUAUCCUGCCCCCAGCUUUGGGCAAUAGGAGAUGCUUAGGGAAAAAGCAUAAGAAAUGAGAUAUUCAAAUAUUUUCAAUACAGGAAGCAGGCAGAUUCUUUGCAAGGAAUGUGAGUGUUGCUGUGGGUUGUUGCCUGGCAUUCAACAUAUUUCUACUGUUAAUAACUAUUUUCUUCAACGAGUUGUGUACUUACUAUUUGCAGUACAAGCUACAGCUUUGGGGAGGAGUAACCUUCUGGGAGCUGGUGUCAUGUUUUUUGCAAUCUUUUCUGCAGUCAGUUGUGACAUACAGAAAUAUUACAGAUACAAUGCUUGCACAGACUAUCUGGACACCAGCUAUUGACAAAUAUUUACAUUUCUUAUUGCCACUGUUCUGUUUUUAUGACACCUUAUUCAAUCUUGAAAGCCCUUCAGAAGUCCCUGUCACAGUUUUUGAGUCAAGGCCAAUAAAGGACAAUGUGAGAUGGCCUCCUCUACCCAAAAUUCUCUGCAAAAUUAAGGUAGACAUUCAUGGAGUGGUCCAUUCAGUGCUGUAAAUAACCAGAAUUUGGAAGGUACAUAUAAUUUACCUAGCUGUUUGAUCUAACUCAUUAGGAAAAAAAGAAGUAAGUAACCUGGUGCUACAGAAGUUACUUCAAUGCAAAAUGAAUUUGAUGUGAAACAGGCAAAUUGUGAAAACAGAUUCUUACUUAUUACUGCUGCAGAACUUGCAGUUCAGUGUGAAUUUAAUAUCUAAAGGGGGGCUAUAGGAAAGAAGGGAACGGACUCUAGCAGGGUCUGUUGUGAUAGGACAAGGGGAAACAGUUUCAAAGUAGAACAGGGGAAUUUUAUAUUGGAUAUAAGGAAGAAGUUCUUUACAAUGAGGGUGGUGAGGCACUGGCACAGGUUGGCCAGAGAGAGGGUGAAUUCCCUGUCCCUGGAGAUUCUACUUUAUUACUCAGAUUUGAGUAUAUAUGCAACACUGUGAUGGGCAACAACAGAAAGACGUCAUAAUAUGCAAAGGAAAGGUCAAAAGCUGAAUGUACACAGUCCUGAAAUCCCUAAGUUUGGUAGUGUGGUAACUUUGGUGCUCUCUGGAGUCCUCUGAUUUCUGUAGCACUCCACUGUCUCUUGGCAUCAGGAUGACCUGUGCUACCCUCUUGGUUUGUUGGUUUUGGGGUGUGUUUUUUUUUCUUUUCUCCAGACGCAGUGGAAGAGCUGUUGCACGUAAGCUGGUCUUCAGAAACAAGACAGCAGAGGAGGUUGUGGGAAGAGUCCACGGUUUUUAGAAGGACAUAUGUGUGCAGAUUAAACAAAACUGAGACCUGUGACCUUCAAGGAUGCUGAUGUGUAAUGCUGUAAGCUGACUGGAUUGGUGGAAAAAAGAAAAAGGAGACUCAGUCAUAGAAACAGCUGCUUCUUUCAUACAAGACUUGCCCGGGAGCAAAUCAAUGCAUUUAAUUUGAUUCUGGAACUAGCUGCACAGUUAAUAAUGCCUCAAGACUGUAAGCAAAUCUCUAAAUCUGUAUCUCUAAUAUUCAGAUUCCCUUUCCCCGGAAAAAAAAAAAAUUAAAAAUUAAAAAAAUCUGCAUUUCAUCAAAUCCAUAUUAAGAAGGUUAUGCAAGCUAGUUAUAAGAGAAGAGGCCCAACCCUGGUGCUGUUCUGAGAAGCUGCAAAAAUAAGGUGUAGAAGUACCCCAAAGACUACGCUGCAUGUCGUCAUAGUCCUACAAGAUAGUCCGCUCUUAAAUGCGGAGAUCAGCUGAUGCAUCAUGGCUCACGUGGUACCUACUGUAGAGAACUACAAACGGUUGCCUGGCUUCUGCUCACUCCAGGAAUUAAUCAGCGCGUCACUGCAGUUGAUGGGAAGUAAUGAGCAGCUGUCUUCAGAAUGAGGUGUUGAACAUGACUCAGGCACAGCACAGUAUUGAGAUCUAACAUGGAAAUGUCCUCUAGUUAUUUCUAAAGGUCUGAGAAACCAGAAUGAGAUGCUGGGUAUGUGAUGGGUACAAAAAGGAUACAUUUCAAAGGCAAAGAGAACAGAACUGCCAGUAGCAUUGAAGAGAAUCAGAAUCAUUAAGAUGUGAAGAGACUACUAAGAUUGUCUAGUACAUGAGUGUCCAACCUUUUGGUUUGCCUGGGCUGUGCUGAUUGAAGAGAAAUUGUCUUGGGCCACAUAUACGUAGACCGCUCUGAAACUAAGGCCUACUAUUAAUUUCCAUGGAAAAUACGACAGAAACAAGGAGCACAGUAGCACUGUUUAACAGAGCAAAUUCUCAGCUACACAAUACUAUCUGUCAGCAUAGUCACCACCAUUAAUUCUGUGCAUUUUUGCCAGUGAUGAACUAGAGCUUGCAUUCUAUGCUUAUAAAAAUCUGUACCAGUCACGGUGGCCCGCUGCCUCCUCUGCUGAAAUACACCACCCACCACCUCACUGUGCUCACAGCCACUGCUUGGUCUCCAGAAACAUUCAGCAAGUAUCGAUGAAUGUCAGUGGGUGCUAUUUUUUUUUUU